Mustela erminea (ermine) is the source of this 2371-nucleotide non-coding RNA. The record is from the annotation of a RefSeq genome assembly. NCBI's taxonomy places the organism in Eukaryota, Metazoa, Chordata, Mammalia, Carnivora, Mustelidae.
CAGGACUUGCUUUUAAGUAAGUUCUCCUGGGAGGAGGAGCAGAGUCAAUUUAAGUUUUACAACAAAUUGGCAGUUCAGCCGGGGUGGGGCCACUCUGACUGAAUAGGCUCUUACAAAAGCCAUAAUUUUCCUGCCUGUGGGAAGGCCAGGAGGAGUGAAGAGAGGAGGUUCACUCCCUGGAUCUGAGCACUUUUCCUAGAAUUCAGGCACGUGUUCUCCUGUGCUUUACAUUAUCGACAGCUGGUGACAUCCUCUGGCUGAUGUAGAAAACGAAUAGUGAGGGCGGUGGAAAUGAACCCUUUGGAAAUGUGAUCAUUUGUCCUGUAUCAAAUCUUAAUACUGAAAAUUCCCUUUUCUGGACCAAGACGAACAUUCAUAUAGUCCUGCUACUUCAAGUAGAGGCAUCGGCAUUGCCAGGAAUCUUGUUAGAAAUACAGACUAUCCAGUCCCACUGGAGACCCAACUGUGGGGGCCACAGACUGGCUGCCCCAAAAUGGGUCACUUUGGCUUGAAGGUUAUUUUCAGUUAAAAGGCAAUCAAAAUCCAGCAGAUUCAGGAAAAACUCUUAUCCACACACCAUCCCCCCCCAGCGUAAAAAGAAUUGAGAUAGGGUAUCUGCUCCAGGAAGACAGCUAUCACUGUAAAUAACUACAUUAUACUGUGAAUUAAGUAUGGUAGACAGGGAGGAACUUAGCAAAGUCUGUCUGAUCAAAGUCCUCUAUGUCCCAUUGUCUCUGAGUCCUCCAGCAAACAUUUGCUUAGCAAAUACUUACUUUUACAUCUUCUUGUGAAUUACUUCCUUCCCUUUGAAGUCCCAGACCCCUAACCCCUUUUCCUUAGUUCAUAAUGACGUAGAAACCUCAGUUUGUCUUUGAAAUUUCCAUGUCUGCGUGGAUUCCCUGUAAGCACAUCAGAUUUAAUUUUCUCUUAUUAAUCUGUCUCAUGACGAUUUGAUUCUUAGUCUGGCUAGAAGGAUGUUGUAAGGAACAGGAUAGUGAUAGUGUUGAUCUUUGACAUAAUGAAAAACAAUCUGUAUUUUAGCAAAAUCCCUAGGUAAUUUGUAUGCACAGUGAGAAGCACUUGUCUUCAACACACUUUGUUAUUGUAAAAACCUUCUGAACACAAGAUGGCGCUGUUUCCUAUCUAUUUGGCUCCUCCCUCAGCUUUGAGCCCUGUUCACUCUAAAGCUGGAUGAGGUCAGUGAGUGUCUGUAGAGGGCUGUACAAGCUUGUCACUGAUUGGGUAGGAAGCAGAAACUUUCUCCCACAGAUGAACUUCAGUAACACCCACCAGACUAAAGGGAAUGGCUUUUCGUUUCAGGAGAGUGAGUCCACAUGCCAGGCCACCCCUGGGGAGAAGAAUGAAACUGUUCCUGGGAGUUAUUCUGGUGAUUUUGUGGUUUCCAGUGGACUGGGUAAGCAGCCAAAAGAUGGAACAGAAUCCACAGUCCCUGAGCAUCCAGGAGGGUGAGAAGGUGGUGCUGACCUGUAACUACACGAAUUAUUCUCCAGUGGUCUUCCAGUGGUAUCGACAAGAUCUGGGAAGAGACCUUGUCUUCUUGCUACUAAUACGUGAAAAUGAGGGUGAAAAACAGACAGGAAGACUGAGGGCCACCUUUGAUAAGACCCUCCAGCAGAGUUCCUUUUAUAUCACGAAGUCCCAGCCUGCAGACUCAGCCACCUACUUCUGUGCUGCAGACACACAGCAGGGCCCUGCCACCUGCUUCCUGCACCCAAACUCUGCCAGUGGCUCAGUCAGCAGAGCUGCUGGCUGUGCUGACCUCAAGGGCUGACCCCAGCUCCAGGCCGAACAAGUGGGGGCCACUUGAAAGGGUUAAAGGCUGUGAGCCAGAGCCCUGGAUCUACCUCCAGCCUCUGAGUCUCUCCCUGCUGAUACCGCUGUGUGACUAUGAGCAGCUCCUGAGAAUCGCUGGUCUCAUUUGCCUCAUCGGAUCAUGAAGUGCUUACCACAUGAUUCUCAAGUUUGUCUCAGCAAUGAAAUCCAAACAGUCUAAUUUUUUAGGAAAAAGAAAUAUGCCCUGAAGAAUGCCGGAGAUCAAGAAAAGAGGAUUUAUGUGCAUGCAUGCACAUGUUUGUGUAUAUGUGUAUCUGUGUGCGUGUUUAAGGACAAUUAAUUCUGCCCAGUUUUUGUGACUAGGCCAGAACAGCCUGAGACAUAUACAGGGUUAAACACAUUCCUUUUAAACAUUAACUGUAUAUUCCUCCACAUAAACAACAACAGCAAACAAACCAGUCUAAACAUUCCUGAGACCCUUUUAAACUGAACCUCAAAUAAUGAUGAUGGUAAAAAUAAAAAAUUGACCUGUGUUUAAAAAAAAAAAAAAUUCAACCAAGUAAAAUUGAAGAUCUAA